RNAcentral lists this ribosomal RNA (253 nucleotides) under uncultured bacterium. RNAcentral's name for it is "partial 16S ribosomal RNA". It matches the Rfam family "Bacterial small subunit ribosomal RNA", at positions 524 to 776 of the family's 1533-position model. The record is from RNAcentral.
UACGUAGGGUGCAAGCGUUGUCCGGAAUUAUUGGGCGUAAAGAGCUCGUAGGCGGCUUGUCGCGUCGCUGUGAAAACCUGGGGCUCAACCCCGGGCCUGCAGCCGAUACGGGCAAGCUAGAAUUCGGUAGGGGAGACUGGAAUUCCUGGUGUAGCGGUGAAAUGCGCAGAUAUCAGGAGGAACACCGAUGGCGAAGGCAGAUCUCUGGGCCGUAACUGACGCUGAGGAGCGAAAGCAUGGGGGAGCGAACAGG